Molecule: ribosomal RNA, 432 nt
Filed under: uncultured bacterium
Lineage: Bacteria
Description: partial 16S ribosomal RNA
Rfam family: Bacterial small subunit ribosomal RNA
Source: RNAcentral
AACGAACGCUGGCGGCAUGCCUAACACAUGCAAGUCGAACGAGACCUUCGGGUCUAGUGGCGCACGGGUGCGUAACGCGUGGGAACCUGCCCUUAGGUUCGGAAUAACUCCCCGAAAGGGGUGCUAAUACCGGAUAAUGUCUUCGGACCAAAGAUUUAUCGCCUUUGGAUGGGCCCGCGUUGGAUUAGCUAGUUGGUAGGGUAAAAGCCUACCAAGGCGACGAUCCAUAGCUGGUCUGAGAGGAUGAUCAGCCACACUGGGACUGAGACACGGCCCAGACCCCAAGGGGAGGCAACGGGGGGGAAAAUGGGGCAGGGGGGCAAGGCCUGACACACCAAUGCCGGGGUAGUAAAAAAGGCCUUAGGGUUGUAAAGCUCUUUUACCCGGAGGGAAAAUGACGGACCGGGAAAAAAAACCCCGGGCUACCACCGU